Molecule: ribosomal RNA, 332 nt
Filed under: uncultured bacterium
Lineage: Bacteria
Description: bacterial SSU rRNA
Rfam family: Bacterial small subunit ribosomal RNA
Source: RNAcentral
UGCGCAGGCGGUUUCGUAAGACAGAUGUGAAAUCCCCGGGCAUAACCUGGGAACUGCAUUUGUGACUGCGAGACUAGAGUACGGCAGAGGGGGGUAGAAUUCCACGUGUAGCAGUGAAAUGCGUAGAUAUGUGGAGGAAUACCGAUGGCGAAGGCAGCCCCCUGGGUCGAUACUGACGCUCAUGCACGAAAGCGUGGGGAGCAAACAGGAUUAGAUACCCUGGUAGUCCACGCCCUAAACGAUGUCAACUAGGUGUUGGGGGAGGAGACUUCCUUAGUACCGCAGCUAACGCGUGAAGUUGACCGCCUGGGGAGUACGGCCGCAAGGUUGAA